CGGGGGUCAGGGUUCGAUUCCGGAGAGGGAGCCUGAGAAACGGCUACCACAUCCAAGGAAGGCAGCAGGCGCGCAAAUUACCCAAUCCAGACAAUGGGAGGUGGUGACGAAAAGUACCGAAUGACAGCCUCUGGUUGUCAGUUUGGAAUGGAAACAAUUUAAGAAAUUGGUUUGAGUAACGACUGGAGGGCAAGUCUGGUGCCAGCAGCCGCGGUAAUUCCAGCUCCAGUAGCGUAUCUCAAAGUUGCUGCGCUUAAAACGCUCGUAGUUGGAUCAAGUUGCGUUUGUGAGUGGGUGUGCAAACAACUGCGCUUCUGUCUUAGGUAUGGCCAGAGCAUGCGUUCCCGUGUGUUUUGGCGACCGGACGGCAAAGUAUUUGCUACUUGAAAGCUCGCAAAUGAAAAUUGCACGUGAGGAUGAUAGUUGACCUUGAGUGCGUUGGCAAUCGUGUCUCACGGAGUGUGCCUUGAGUAAAUCAGAGUGCUUAAAGCAGGCAGUGAUGCUUGAAUGUUGAUAGCAUGGAACGAACAAUCGUGUAUGGUGUGUGCUGAGUAAAGUGUGUAGGUGUGAGAGCGCCUGCACACUUCAGCACACGACACCGACCACCAAUUACGGAUGUUGGUUCCGUAUUGGGGUACUGAUUAAGAGGAGCGGUUGGGGGCAUUGGUAUUUGGCAGCGAGAGGUGAAAUUCUUAGACCUGCCAAGGACUAACAAAUGCGAAGGCAUCUGUCCAGACCGUAUCCAUUAAUCAAGAACGAAAGUGAGAGGUUCGAAGACGAUCAGAUACCGUCCUAGUUCUCACUGUAAACGAUGCCGACCCGGGAUCAGUUUGGAGCAAGUAUCCACGCUCGAGGUUGGUCCCCCUGGGAAACCUAAAGUUUUUCGGUUGCGGGGGGAGUAUGGUCGCAAGGCUGAAACUUAAAGGAAUUGACGGAAGGGCACCACCAGGGGUGGAGCCUGCGGCUUAAUUUGACUCAACACGGGAAAACUUACCUGGUCCGGACGUCAAAAGGAUAAACAGAUUUGCGAUCUUUUUUGAUAUGAUGAUUGGUGGUGCAUGGCCGUUCUUAGUUCGUGGAGUGAUUUGUCAGGCCGAUUCCGGUAACGGACGAGAUCACAGUCUCCAUUUGAGGCGCCGAAGAAGGCGGCAGUAAUUGUGGUUUGAAACUUGAAAAAGUGACGGACACAAAGAUUGUCGAUGGGGAGUGUGAGGGCGGACAUGCAUUCAAGGUUAUGUGGUGCCUUGCGGUAACAGAUAACGGAGAAGAGUGGUCGACCUCGCGUUCUCCCUUCGGUGAAACAGUGAGCUGAUCGAGAGAUGAGUGAGCUGUAUCAUGGAGAGACAACGGAAUAUAUUCCAAAAUCCGAGGAAGUGUGGCUAUAACAGGUCUGUGAUGCCCUUAGAUGUUCAGGGCUGCACGCGCGCUACAAUGGCGGUGACAGCAAGUGUCUGGAUCGAAAGAUUUGGGUAAUCUUGAAUCACCGCCGUGAUGGGGAUCGACGUUUGUAAUUACGUCGUGAAAUAGGAAUCCCUAGUACGUGCGAUUCAUGAGAUCGCGCGGAUUCAGUCCCUGCCCUUUGUACACACCGCCCGUCGCUACUACCGAGUGAAUGGUGCCAUAAUGCCUUGGGAGCGGACGUCGUUACCAGGUUAACGCCCGGGAGGACGCUGCA
RNAcentral lists this ribosomal RNA (1675 nucleotides) under Henneguya ovata. RNAcentral's name for it is "SSU rRNA". It matches the Rfam family "Eukaryotic small subunit ribosomal RNA", at positions 363 to 1751 of the family's 1831-position model. The record is from RNAcentral. Lineage: Eukaryota; Metazoa; Cnidaria; Myxozoa; Bivalvulida; Myxobolidae.